Molecule: transfer-messenger RNA, 381 nt
Filed under: Saprospiraceae
Lineage: Bacteria; Pseudomonadati; Bacteroidota; Saprospiria; Saprospirales
Also listed under: 1 other name
Description: JAGQWW01 sp020436955 Standard tmRNA
Rfam family: transfer-messenger RNA
About the family: Bacterial tmRNA, also known as 10Sa RNA or SsrA, is named for its dual tRNA and mRNA-like properties. Its role is to liberate the mRNA from a stalled ribosome. To accomplish this part of the tmRNA is used as a reading frame that ends in a translation stop signal.
Source: RNAcentral
GGGGGCGUACUGGUAUCGACAGGAAAGUGAACUGAUUAGUAAGCAUGCCGGAGUAUGAUAGUUUAUCUCCGUUAAAAACUGGCUAUUAAACACAAUUUUACAUGGCAACUAUAAUUAUGCCAUGGCUGCCUAAUCUUAGAGAUUAGAUAGCCUUUGUGCCCCACGGUUGAUUCUCGCUACACAUCGUGCCGCACAUCAUCAACCCUGCGAGAGUAGGUUGGCUGUUUUCUCUGCCAGUUGACCGAAAUUUAAGGAGAUACGGUUGAGCCAGGUUGGUACCGGCACCUUCCCUCAACCCGACAAUUAAAGCAGGUACUAAGCAUGUAGAAAGCUCUUUGGUGCUUUCUCUGGACCCGAGUUCGACUCUCGGCGCCUCCACAA